RNAcentral lists this long non-coding RNA (216 nucleotides) under Hordeum vulgare. RNAcentral describes it as "long non-coding RNA (HVUL_LNC000778)". Lineage: Eukaryota; Viridiplantae; Streptophyta; Magnoliopsida; Poales; Poaceae. The record is from RNAcentral.
UGAAGCUGAAGAAAUGAAUCGCGACGAAUCUGCGAUGAAAUUGACAUUCCUCAUGAAGAUACUGAAAUUGAGGAAUUCGGUGUGUCCUGAAGAAAAUCACUUUGAAGACUUUAAAGCAUGAAGAUUUAUUCUUUCUGUUUUAUUUUCUUCGCAUUUGAGUAAUAGAAACACCGUACUGUUAAAGGAGGUCGAAGUUACACUCUGGAAUGAAUUUCC